Molecule: ribosomal RNA, 492 nt
Filed under: uncultured bacterium
Lineage: Bacteria
Description: partial 16S ribosomal RNA
Rfam family: Bacterial small subunit ribosomal RNA
Source: RNAcentral
AGUGAACGCUGGCGGUAGCCCUAACACAUGCAAGUCGAACGGCAGCACAGUAAGAGCUUGCUCUUACGGGUGGCGAGUGGCGGACGGGUGAGGAAUACAUCGGAAUCUACUUUUUCGUGGGGGAUAACGUAGGGAAACUUACGCUAAUACCGCAUACGACCUACGGGUGAAAGCAGGGGAUCUUCGGACCUUGCGCGAUUGAAUGAGCCGAUGUCGGAUUAGCUAGUUGGCGGGGUAAAGGCCCACCAAGGCGACGAUCCGUAGCUGGUCUGAGAGGAUGAGCAGCCACACUGGAACUGAGACACGGUACAGACUCGAACGGGAGGCAGCAGAGGGGAAUAUUGGACGAUGGGCGCAAGCGUGAUCCAGACAUACCGCGUGUGUGAAGAAGGCCUUCGGGUUGUAAAGCCUGUUUGUUGGGAAAGAAAAGCAGCAGGUUAAUACCCCGCUGUUCUGAGGGUACCCAAAGAAUAAGCACCGGCUAACUUCGUG